This 461-nucleotide ribosomal RNA is filed under the name uncultured bacterium. RNAcentral's name for it is "bacterial SSU rRNA". It matches the Rfam family "Bacterial small subunit ribosomal RNA", at positions 331 to 793 of the family's 1533-position model. The record is from RNAcentral.
CCAGACUCCUACGGGAGGCAGCAGUGGGGAAUAUUGCACAAUGGGGGGAACCCUGAUGCAGCGACGCCGCGUGGGUGAAGGAGCACCUCGGUGCGUAAAGCCCUAUCGGCAGGGAAGAAAAGCGAACAGGUUCGCCUGGACGGUACCUGACUAAGAAGCCCCGGCUAACUACGUGCCAGCAGCCGCGGUAAUACGUAGGGGGCAAGCGUUAUCCGGAUUCACUGGGUGUAAAGGGAGCGUAGACGGCGACGCAAGUCUGGAGUGAAAGCCCGGGGCCCAACCCCGGAACUGCUUUGGAAACUGUGCAGCUCGAGUGCAGGAGAGGUAAGCGGAAUUCCUAGUGUAGCGGUGAAAUGCGUAGAUAUCAGGAGGAACACCGGUGGCGAAGGCGGCCUGCUGGACUGCAACUGACGUUGAGGCCCGAAAGCGUGGGGAGCAAACAGGAUUAGAUACCCGUGUAU